This 460-nucleotide ribosomal RNA is filed under the name uncultured bacterium. RNAcentral describes it as "partial 16S ribosomal RNA". It matches the Rfam family "Bacterial small subunit ribosomal RNA", at positions 338 to 795 of the family's 1533-position model. The record is from RNAcentral.
CCUACGGGAGGCAGCAGUGAGGAAUAUUGGUCAAUGGUCGAGAGUCUGAACCAGCCAAGUAGCGUGAAGGAUGACUGUCCUAUGGGUUGUAAACUUCUUUUAUCUGGGAAUAAAAUGUUCCACGUGUGGGAUUUUGUAUGUACCAUAUGAAUAAGCAUCGGCUAACUCCGUGCCAGCAGCCGCGGUAAUACGGAGGAUCCGAGCGUUAUCCGGAUUUAUUGGGUUUAAAGGGAGCGUAGGUGGAUUGUUAAGUCAGUUGUGAAAGUUUGCGGCUCAACCGUAAAAUUGCAGUUGAAACUGGCAGUCUUGAGUACAGUAGAGGUAUGCGGAAUUCGUGGUGUAGCGGUGAAAUGCUUAGAUAUCGCGAAGAACUCCGAUUGCGAAGGCAGCUCACUGGACUGCAACUGACACUGAGGCUCGAAAGUGUGGGUAUCGAACAGGAUUAGAUACCCCGGUAGUC